GAUGAAGCAAUGAGGGACCCCGUUCUCGUGCAACAUACCAUAGGUAGGAGCAGUAUGUUCGAUCGACAGGCGGCAAGCCGCCGGCAAACAUAACAGUAGCCGGACCUUAGCAGCCUAGUUACCGGAACAUAGCGUACGUGGUACGAUAUUUUUAUAAACUAUGAAACAUGAGGGGUAUAUAGCUUCGUCUCGUUCCUUUAAAUUACGGAAUGCGUUCCACUUUCCAAAGAAACGUGUAUGGG
Molecule: long non-coding RNA, 242 nt
Filed under: Sorghum bicolor (sorghum)
Lineage: Eukaryota; Viridiplantae; Streptophyta; Magnoliopsida; Poales; Poaceae
Description: long non-coding RNA (SBIC_LNC000409)
Source: RNAcentral